CUCAUUUGUUUGUUUUGUUUGCAGAAGCCCUGCAGGCUCUCUUCAAAGCCUCUGAAAGAUAAUAGUUGACCAGAAGGUGAAACCUGGGAAAAGCUGCAUGAAGUCUGCAAAGAGCUAAGUAGCAGUUGAUUUGUUUAACUUCAUUUGCUUCUUUCACAUUUCUUACAAGCCCUAGGUGGCCUCCUGGUGUUAUCUACUAGCUCUGCCCUAAACAGUGGGUCCUUAGCCAAAGCCAGCAGCCAAAGUAAAAGUGGCCAGCUCUGCUGACACGACCACAUGCCUGUCUGUGAUCUGCCCAAAAGCUACCCAUAACAGCAGGGAUGUAGGUUGUAGCCGUGUUGGUCUAAGGACAUAGGCAGACAAGGUUCCUUGGGUGAAUCUGAUAUCUUUUAUUAGACCAACCCAAAUAGAGCACACACUAACUGCUGAAACUUCCUUAGCCUGAUGAAGGGUUUUUGAACCCAAAAGCUUGCUUAAUAACUAUUCUCCAACUAUUUGGGUUGGUCUAAUAAAAGAUAUCAGAUUCACUCAAGGAACCUUGUCUACCCAUAACAGCAUACGUUUACAUCAUUUUGGGGCAAUACAAAUGGACACAAUGGAACAUACCAAAUGAUGAUCCAUCCAGCAAUCAUCUGUGCUAGUCAUGGCUCUGGUGAUUAUGGAUAUUGCAACUGUUCUAGGCAUGCACAAUGAUGUAAUCAAGUGCCAGUGUUUUGAGUGGGGGUGCAUCCAUGAUGUCUUCCUUCUUUCCUUUUGGUGGAAAAGGAGUUCAUGAUGGUGAGGUUAUAUUCUGCAUGCUUGCUCAGGAGAAUUCUAUUUGAAUUGACUUUCCCCACCCCUUCCUUUCCAAGUGUUCCUUUCCACAGCUUAGAGUCCCUGCCCACUCUGGCUAGGGACAGGCAUUCAAAAAGUCUGAGCCUGAAUUGAUUCAAUCUUUGCAGGUUAGUCUAACCUGGGUAGGCUGAACCAGUUUGUAACUGGACAGACAUUCUGUCUGAAAUUUAGGCACAUGCCUGUAGUGGCUCAGGCUAGAAGCCAGGGGAUGCUAGAGAGCCUUCUCUUCCCUUACACAGAGCUGAACUGAGCGGGGCAUGGCCAGGCCCAGGCCCAGGCAGGAUGCUCUGAUUAGGGAGGUCUGCCUGCAGCAUCCCAGGCUUUUACCUGCUGGCUGCUCAAGGGGCAGCAGUGUUGCCAGCCCCCAGCCCCCUGCUAGCACUCUGAGGCAGGGUGUGUGUGCAGUGUAUGCAUCUGUUGAUGAAAUGGAGCUUUUCAAUCUCCCUCUCCCCUGCUUCUUUAUACUGUCUGCAGCAAACUAACAGGUGAGCAAGCUAGCAGGGAGCUGAUAAGUGUUUAUCACCCCAUCAGCAAAACAAUACCCUCUCUCCAUUAAUUCAAACUCUUCUUAAACAGCUUACUGACUGACCUGUUGAUUAGCUCCCAAAAGUCCUAAGGGGUCACUGUUCUGUCUGCCUGCCCCACUAAAAUUGAAGAUGCACAGAGACAUCUCUCAGCAUUAGCUAGCAUACUACAUGCCUAUGGUCCAUGGGGCUAGGGUCUGUGCUGUGGGAGAUAGGAGGGAGGGAGUGGAUCCCUGCUUGUCCAGCAAGCAGUGAGGUGGGGUAGGACAGGGGGAAGCCUAGCAGACCCUGCUGUACCUGCAGUCUCUACCAGAGCUCCAGCCAGGGAGCAGAGGGGAGGGGCCAGCCCUGCUGUGGAGCAGAGAGUCCCCCCCAACCCAGAAAACAUGCCAGGAUGCUGUGGGAGUCUGGUUUAUGUUAAAACAGCAAGGGGUCUGGGACAGACAUUGCCUAAACUGGUUUGAGCUAAAUCAGUUAAGUCUCAUACUACAUUGAACCAGGUUUCUCUCAAACUGGUUUCAGCCAUUUUCAAACUGGUUUAUGUGCACUGAACAUCUGUUCUGUUACAGGUUUAAACUAGUUUCUGAUCACUUAAACAGGUUUAUGUGUAGUGUCUGUCCCUAGCCCCUAGCACUGAAAUUGCCAAGAAUUGUCUUAUUUUCUUUGAAGACAGAUGACAGGACUUGAUUGAGUUUAGAAUAACAUUUUUCUUUUGUUUCAUCGUCUGCAUCUAGGGCUAGGGUAUAUGCACUGAUGACUGUUGCAUGUUGUCUGCUGGUCAGUUGUAGACAAAGGAUCAUGAGAUGAAGGAUCCAGUGAAGCCCAUAGUGGCGGAACCGUAACAGCACAUCACAAUAGGUCCCCACUCCCCAUGUAUUUGGAAGAACUUUGGAGCUUAAUUACUAAAUAGCUAGCUUGUGACUGGGCAUUGUCACUCUCCAGGUCAGUGUGCAGCAAGAGAUCCAUAUUCCCUCCACUGUGGUGAAAGGUAAGAACAACUUGAGGUAAGAGGAAAUGAAGUUUAGAGGAGAACCAGAGGAUAUGUGACAGCAAGAGACAACAGCCUGGAAGUUGUUGCAGAUGCCAGCUUGAUGGAGACUAGCCACAGCAACGAGGUUGCGGCCAGCAAGCAACCAAAUAGCGUAGAAAGGGAAGCAACACUGCAGUAUAUUAGUCUUCUGAAGUUCAGUGCUUCCAAGCUCUAGGUUGAGAACUUUGGGGGCUUUUUUCUUUGCUUGUUGUUUUUGCCUAACAAUUUAAAAAAAAUGUUGAGGCCAGGACAUUUGGGCCUUUAAUUUUUGGUAACCUUAGUAAAGAAACAUCCUACAUGUGAAAGCAUUUCCUGGGAAACUAAUAAAGUCUUGAAUCUAAGGGGUCCAGUGUUUUAUACCAUCCUACAGUGCAUGCUGCCGAGAUAUGGGAGGCUGGUGUGCCAUAGCAUACAUGUUGUCAGUCAGCUGUGAGGUUGCUGCAAUAAUGAAAGAUGAAGGAAAUAGACUGAAUUCUGCAUCUCUUACUCAUGUGAGUAAUUUAUGGUAAAGCCAGUGGGAAUAUUUGCAUGAGUGCAAGAACACUGCAAGAUCAGAUGACAGGGCUCUUUGGUUACUGAGGAGGUGCAAAAUGAAGCUUCAAUUAUAGAAUCUUCUCAUUUUCUCAGUAACAGCUUUCAAAAGUAGAUGGAGAGGGCAGGAAGGGAUUAAAUAACUGCCUGUGCCUCCAUAUAGUGAAUGGUUCUUACAUAACUAUCACUGGAGAACUUGAAAAUGAGUAGAGCAGUAGUUAUGCAUCUGCUGUAACUUUUACUUUUCAAAUAAUAAGAAGAAUUUUUUUAAGCUGGGCAUUAUUUUCAUCAUAUCAUAUAGUUGCCAAAGCUAUGAAGAAGCAAGUUUAAAGAAAAUUUUAAAUUGGAAGAGAUCUAAAAUGUUUCAGGCCUCAAGAUUUAAUACCUUAUGCCAAUUGCAAUAUUUGCUUUUGCCUCUUGUCUUUGUGAGAUGUCCUUAGACUUAAGAAUGUGAUUUUUUGAUUUUUCUUAUGUUCUAGACAGUUUUAUCCAACCUUUCUUGGCUCUGGCCUUAAACUUUAUUCAUUUAUUGAUCUCAGGCUUACUUGGGUUUCCCACAUACAGCGGGGUUGGGUGGGGGGGGAGGGUUGCAAAUAUUUAACUGUUUCACUCCUUCCUGUGAGUUAGCAUGCUAACCUGUGGCUUGCUGUGCAGGGCAAGCUCACCAGUGGGUUCAUGGUCACUGACGAUGGGGCCAAUAUGGGCAAGGUGGUCUGUGAUGCCAACUUUGAUAACAUCCGCUGUGUGGCACACAAGUUGCACAUUGUUGUCAGGGAUGCCUUGGAGGGGGACAGGGCUGCCGGUGAUGGCGCCAGCCAGCACCACCAGCAAGCUCAUUUCCAAAUGCAGGAAGGUGGCAGCUACCUCCACUGGAGCAUCAAGGGGGGCAAGAAGCUGUGGGACAAACAAACAGAGCUGAACAUCCUGCAACACAAAAUCAUGGAGGAUGUGGAGAUUAGGCAGAACUCCACAUUCCUGAUGCUGGAGAGGCUGGUGGAGCAACAGAAGGCCAUCCAUGAGAUCGCCCUGCUCUGGGAGAUUGGGGCUGGUCACCCCCUGAACAAAGUUAUGUGGGAUACCAUCUCCCAGAUCUCAGUGGUCCUCAAGCCCUUCCUUUAGGCCCCCAAGAGCCUCGGUGCUGCUGCUGCCCUCCUUAGCCAGGUGAUCCCCACAGUGAGGGAACUUCAGAGACGAAUGGCGAGCUUGCAGUGGAUCAAUGAUCCUGGCUGGGGCCAGCCACUGUCACCAGAUGUGCAGGCACUGGUGAGGCGGCUGAAGGAGGGCAUCAGGAAAUUGCUUGAUAUCCCUUGCAGUCCAGUGCAGUCCACGUGCUGGCUGCCAUGUGUGACCAAAGGGUGAAGGGCCCUGGAUCUGGCAGCCAAACACUGUAUCAGCGGAUGGAGGUGCUGGUAAAGGAAGUCAGGGAGGCAGAAUGACAGAGGCGGGGGGACGUGGAACAGGGGGAUACACUGUCUCAUGCUAGCACAUCAUCCACAAGCCAAUCUUGAGCUCCACCACAGGUGCAUGCCUUCUGUGGUGGGGUCCAGAGCCACCAGACCCCAGCAUGAGGCAGGUAGUGCUCACCCCUUGGUGGCUGCCUAUGUUGCCGAGGAUGUGGAGCCACUGGUGUGUGACCCCUUGGCCUACUGACCAGUGUGCCGAGUGAGAGGGUGUUGAGCAUCCCUGGGGAUGUAGUGACACCCCACCGCACCUGCUUGGACGGUGGUUUGGUGAAGCAGCUGGUGUUCCUGAAGGUGAACCUCCCGCUGCUGGGGUUCCCCAAGCUCCAGGUGUAGAUGGACUGAGUGCCACCCUCCUCACUCUGUCCACGCCUAUUUCCUUUUUUCCUCUUUCAAAAACCAGGUAAUGCCCCGCUGUCAGCUUGAGGGGGCACUAACUGCAUCACCAGCCAACAGGGGAAGAACAUGUCCCUGGAGAGCUCUUACUCCUGCCAGGAUGAACUUGGAGGUGUCAUGUGCUCAGAACGGGCUACCAUUGCAGUAUGUUUCAUCAAAAUCAAGUCAGAAAUGACAAAGUUAUAGCCUGUUUUGAACUUCCCCAUUAUAGCCUAUGGGCGGAACGUCGAAACAGGCACGAAAUGGGAAACUCUUGACGAAGCAACACAGAACAGCUGCUGUGACUCGAAACAAAAGUCGGGGCACACUCUGCAACUUCACUGGAACAUAGAUGUGUCUGUAUGCCCUGGUCCUAACUUCUCAUGUUCACUAGGUUGGCCACCUGAGUGUAGCAUUGAGCAGCGGACUUUGGUCCUAUAACAUCUGCAGAGUGAUUGUGACUGUGAGUGUGAGUGUGUGUGUGUUAGAGCUCUUUUGAAUCUUAUAAUCAAUAAACAUGUCAUCUUGACAUAUCUCCCUCAUAAGGUCUCGCUCAUCACUCGAGGCAGCUGGUCAUUUGUGCAACACAGAGGCAGCCACAUGUGAUGCCAGCCUCAUCACUCCUUUGUGCCUUAUCUGCAUUAGUCCAAUGGGCAGCUAGGCUUGGAUGAAAUUUCCUUAUUUAGCUGCCUACAGCGGAGUUCAAAAUCAUCUGGCCCCUUUGCAGCCAUUGUGCAGGUUGCAUGCAGAGCACAGUGCUAUGACAUCUGGCCCACGGGGGUGGACUUUGAUGGCAGCAGCAUAAAUAGUUGUGGCUGUCACAGUGGUGGCAACUAGUUCUGCCACCAGGUUCCUCACUGUCCUCUUCCUGGGCCAGACGGCAUGGCUCCUCAGUCUAGAACCACCUGGUAGGUGCUAUAUUUGAGAGCCUUGGCCUGCAGUAUUAAUUUGUGAUUUGAAUAUUUGAGGUAAUGACUUGGUGUCAGCUGUGACUUUGACUUGGUGAUACCAUUGCUCUGUUGUUAAAAAGGUUGGCGAAAUGAUGGAGCUAAUUUAUUGUAAAACACUAAAGUGAGUAU
Molecule: long non-coding RNA, 5833 nt
Organism: Alligator mississippiensis (American alligator)
Lineage: Eukaryota; Metazoa; Chordata; Crocodylia; Alligatoridae
Exons: 4
Source: RefSeq, a predicted model, not a curated record